This 500-nucleotide ribosomal RNA is filed under the name uncultured bacterium. Its description in RNAcentral is "SSU rRNA". It matches the Rfam family "Bacterial small subunit ribosomal RNA", at positions 26 to 511 of the family's 1533-position model. The record is from RNAcentral.
AGAACGAACGCUGGCGGCGUGGAUAAGACAUGCAAGUCGAACGCGAUUUAUCAGGUUAGCAAUAACUUGGUAAAUUGAGUGGCGAAAGGGUGCGUAACACGUGGGAAUUUACCGAGAAGUGGGGAAUAGCUCGACGAAAGUCGAAUUAAUACCGCAUACGAUCGAAAGAUCAAAGCCGGGGACCGCAAGGCCUGGCGCUUUUUUGAGAAGCCCGCGGCCCAUCAGCUAGUUGGCGGGGUAAAAGCCCACCAAGGCUAUGACGGGUAGCUGGUCUGAGAGGACGACCAGCCACACUGGAACUGAGACACGGUCCAGACACCUACGGGUGGCAGCAGUCGAGAAUUUUUCACAAUGGACGAAAGUCUGAUGGAGCGACGCCGCGUGGAGGAUGAAGGUUCUUGGAUUGUAAACUCCUGUCACUGCAGAACAAGGAUACGUGUGUGAAUAGCAUGCGUAUUUGAUGGUAUGCGGAGAGGAAGGGACGGCUAACUCUGCGACCG